AGUUCAGGCCACCCUUAAAAAAUUGUUUGUUUGGCAUUGCCGACCCACACUAUCAGCAGGUGGGUAGGUAGGUAGGGAUUUUUUUUUUUUUUUUACAUUUAAAAGCUUUAUACAUGUAAAUCAUGAAGUCUCUAGACCAAUGUUGUCUAAAGCAUUGCAGCAUUGUUGUGUGUACAUGCUGGUGGUUUCUUUGAACGGGGUCAACCGUCAAUGUCACAUUCUACAUCAUAUGGAUAAUUUCAUGUAAGACAGUCAGUUUUGUUGGCAGAGUUAACCAAAGGACCCAGAAAAAAACACAGAACUGAGGCAGGAAACUGACAAAUUAACCAUAUAAAAUGUACAAUGUAUGACGUGAAAAUUGAACUUUUAUUGUGGGACUGCCAAUUGAACAGAGGCCUGAUGUCACAUCUUGUGGUCACAGUUUGGUAAAAUUACCAUAAGUUAAAUGGCUCAACCACUACGGCUCCUUGUACAAAUGGACAAAGAUUUAAAACUUUUAUUGUUUGCUUUGGUUUUAUAAACAUCACUUUCUACACCGUAUGUAAUUUCAUGGCAGUCAGUUUUGUUGGCAUACUAUUAAACCGUAGUACUUGAAGGAAAACGGCGGCAACCUGCGGGAAGAAACUGACUAACCUUAUCACAUAUGACAUGAAAAUCAAACCUUAAUUUUGCAACUGCCCAACUAGGGCUCAAACCAAUACCUAGAGGCUAGUAAUCAUACAUGAAAGGUGUGACGAACUACCAUACAAACACGCCUACUGCCCCUGAUAAGUUUUGAG
Molecule: long non-coding RNA, 779 nt
Filed under: Mytilus galloprovincialis (Mediterranean mussel)
Lineage: Eukaryota; Metazoa; Mollusca; Bivalvia; Mytilida; Mytilidae
Source: RNAcentral